AUUUCUAUUUCUACUUUGCACUUUCUUCCACUACAAAUCUACCAUUCCAGUGUUUUAAUUGCUAUAUUGUAUUUACUUUGCCACCAUGGCCUAUUUAUUGCCUUUACCUCCCUUAUCUCACCUCAUUUGCUCACUUUGUAUAUAGACUUAUUUUUGUACUGUAUUAUUGACUGUAUAUUUGUUUUACUCCAUGUAUAACUCUGUGUUGUUAUAUGUGACAAACUGCUUUGCUUUAUCUUGGCCAGGUCGCAGUUGUAAAUGAGAACUUGUUCUCAACUAGCCUUCCUGGUUAAAUAAAGGUGAAAUAAAUUAAAAUAAAUAAACACACACACACACACACACACACACACACACACACACACACACACACACACACACACACACCACACAUUUAUGGUUAUGAAAAGUUGGACUCAGUUUCAAAUUAUAAAUAUGUCAGUUCUGAGACUGAAUCUGCACUCAAAUGAGACCCCAUUCGCUUUACAGUGCACUGCCUUUGGCCAAUGCCCUAUUGCUAAAAUAAUAAAGCAUUGCACUAUAUCAGAGACACAUAUUUCCCUCAGACUACACAGAUCCACAAAGAAUUUGAAAACAAAAAACUAUAUUUUGAUAAACUCCCAUAUCUACUGGGUGAAAUACCGCAGUGUGCCAUCACAGCAGCAAUAUUUGUGACCUGUUGCCACAAGAAAAGGUCAACCAGUGAAGAACAAACACCGUUGUAAAUACAACCUAUAUUUAAAUGUAUUUAUUUUCCCUUUUGUACUUUAACUAUUUGCACAUCAUUACAACACUGUAUAUAGACAUUAUAUGACAUUUGAAAUGUCUUUAUUCUUUUGGAACUUCUGUGAGUGUAAUGUUUACUGUUAAUUUUAUAUUGUUUAUUUCACUUUUGUUUAUUAUCUACUUCACGUGCUUUGGCAAUGUUAACAUAUGUUUCCCAUUCCAACAAUGCCCUUAAAUUGAAAUGUAAUUUAAUUGAGAGAGAGAGAGAGAGAGAUAAGCAGUGGUCAAGUUAUUAAGAGAGGGAGAGAGAAAGAGGUGUGUGUGUGUGUGUGUGUGUGUGUGUGUACAUGACUACAUGCAUGUAAGUGAGUGAGUGAGACUUGUUUGUUACUGAGCAAAAGGCUUUGGGGAGAAACACUGGGGACUGUCAAAAUGACCAAAAAAUAGCUUAGAAUGCCUUCACUGGCUUCUACUGCUUUUAUAUGCUGACGUCACGGGUUUGAAGAGAGGGGGAGAACAGACAGGAGAGAGAGAGAGAGGAGGAGAGAGAGGAGGAGAGAGGGGGGCCGAGGUAAAGAGAGCGAGGAGGUAGAGGGAGAGCGGGGGAUAGAGAAGGGAGAGGGGGAGAGAGACAGAGAGGAGGGAGAGGGAGAGACAGAGAGAGAGAGGAGGAGAGAGGGGCCGAGGUAAAGAGAGCGAGGAGGGAGAGGGAGAGAGGGGGAUAGAGAAGGGAGAGGGGGAGAGAGAGGAGGGAGAGGGAGAGCGAGAGGAGGGAGGAUAGAGGGAGAGAGGGAUAGAGAGUAGGGAGAGGGGGAGAGGUGGAGUGGGGGACUGAGAGGAGUGGGAGGGACAGAGGAAGAGAGAGAGAGAGGUACAGAGAUGAACAGAAGAAAACUCGAUCAGAAAUAACAGUGUAAAUAUACAGUGCAUUGGGAAAGUAUUCAGACCCCUUGACUUUUUCCACAUUUUGUUAACUUACAUCCAUUUUCUAAAAUGGAUUCGCUUAACGCACACUAACACAGCCUCACACUCAACUGUUACAGUCUAUUAUCUAUCCUUUACCCCUACCUACAGUAUACUGCUGUUACUGUCUAUUAUCUAUCCUUUACCCCUACCUACAGUAUACUGCUGUUAAUGUCUAUUAUCUAUCCUUUACCCCGACCUACAGUAUACUGCUGUUACUGUCU
This 1910-nucleotide long non-coding RNA is filed under the name Salmo salar (Atlantic salmon). RNAcentral's name for it is "lncRNA (ENSSSAG00000088821.1)". The record is from RNAcentral. Lineage: Eukaryota; Metazoa; Chordata; Actinopteri; Salmoniformes; Salmonidae.